AUUUCUCAAGGUAAGUACCCACAUGGAGGACUCUGCAUUCAGUGGAUUUUUGGUCCUGGGAGGUAGAAUUGGAACUUGCUCCAUUGCCUCCAUGCAUUGGCCUGGUAUAGCAGUGCUUCCAGGAGCAGUGCACCCCCU
This is a non-coding RNA of Alligator sinensis (Chinese alligator), 138 nucleotides long. The record is from Rfam. Lineage: Eukaryota; Metazoa; Chordata; Crocodylia; Alligatoridae.